RNAcentral lists this ribosomal RNA (592 nucleotides) under Ensifer adhaerens. RNAcentral's name for it is "bacterial SSU rRNA". It matches the Rfam family "Bacterial small subunit ribosomal RNA", at positions 60 to 693 of the family's 1533-position model. The record is from RNAcentral. Lineage: Bacteria; Pseudomonadati; Pseudomonadota; Alphaproteobacteria; Hyphomicrobiales; Rhizobiaceae.
AGUCCGAGCGCCCCGCAAGGGGGAGCGGCAGACGGGUGAGUAACGCGCUCGCGUGUAAUCUACCCUUUUCUACGGAAUAACGCAGGGAAACUUGUGCUAAUACCGUAUGAGCCCUUCGGGGGAAAGAUUUAUCGGGAAAGGAUGAGCCCGCGUUGGAUUAGCUAGUUGGUGGGGUAAAGGCCUACCAAGGCGACGAUCCAUAGCUGGUCUGAGAGGAUGAUCAGCCACAUUGGGACUGAGACACGGCCCAAACUCCUACGGGAGGCAGCAGUGGGGAAUAUUGGACAAUGGGCGCAAGCCUGAUCCAGCCAUGCCGCGUGAGUGAUGAAGGCCCUAGGGUUGUAAAGCUCUUUCACCGGUGAAGAUAAUGACGGUAACCGGAGAAGAAGCCCCGGCUAACUUCGUGCCAGCAGCCGCGGUAAUACGAAGGGGGCUAGCGUUGUUCGGAAUUACUGGGCGUAAAGCGCACGUAGGCGGACAUUUAAGUCAGGGGUGAAAUCCCAGAGCUCAACUCUGGAACUGCCUUUGAUACUGGGUGUCUAGAGUAUGGAAGAGGUGAGUGGAAUUCCGAGUGUAGAGGUGAAAUUCGUAG